This 235-nucleotide ribosomal RNA is filed under the name uncultured bacterium. RNAcentral's name for it is "partial 16S ribosomal RNA". It matches the Rfam family "Bacterial small subunit ribosomal RNA", at positions 118 to 347 of the family's 1533-position model. The record is from RNAcentral.
UGGGCAACCUGCCCCUGGCUCUGGGAUAACUCCAAGAAAUUGGGGCUAAUACCGGAUAUGACUGCUGACCGCAUGGUCUGGCGGUGGAAAAGAUUUAUCGGCUGGGGAUGGGCCCGCGGCCUAUCAGCUUGUUGGUGGGGUAGUGGCCUACCAAGGCGACGGACGGGUAGCCGGCCUGAGAGGGGUGACCGGCCACACGUGGGACUGAGACACGGCCCAGACCUCCGUACGGGGA